RNAcentral lists this ribosomal RNA (253 nucleotides) under uncultured bacterium. RNAcentral's name for it is "partial 16S ribosomal RNA". It matches the Rfam family "Bacterial small subunit ribosomal RNA", at positions 524 to 776 of the family's 1533-position model. The record is from RNAcentral.
UACGUAGGUGGCGAGCGUUGUCCGGAUUUAUUGGGCGUAAAGGGCGUGCAGGCGGUUUGCUAAGUCUAGGGUGAAAGCUCCCGGCUUAACUGGGAGAGGUCCUUGGAUACUGGCAGACUUGAGGAGGGUAGAGGAGAGUGGAAUUCCCGGUGUAGUGGUGAUAUGCGUAGAUAUCGGGAGGAACACCAGUGGCGAAGGCGGCUCUCUGGGCCCUACCUGACGCUGAGGAGCGAAAGCGUGGGGAGCGAACAGG